This 442-nucleotide ribosomal RNA is filed under the name uncultured bacterium. RNAcentral describes it as "bacterial SSU rRNA". It matches the Rfam family "Bacterial small subunit ribosomal RNA", at positions 8 to 448 of the family's 1533-position model. The record is from RNAcentral.
AGAGUUUGAUCAUGGCUCAGAGUGAACGCUGGCGGCGUGCUUAACACAUGCAAGUCGAACGGUAACAGAACUAGCUUGCUAGUUGCUGACGAGUGGCGCACGGGUGAGUAAUAUAUAGAUAACGUGCCUCUUAGUCUGGGAUAGCCAUUGGAAACGAUGAUUAAUACUAGAUACUCCUUCUCCUUAUAAUAGGAGUUGGGAAAGUUUUUCGCUAAGAGAUCGGUCUAUAUCCCAUCAGCUUGUUGGUAGUGUAAGAGACUACCAAGGCAAUGACGGGUAGCGGGUUUGAGAGGAUGAUCCGCCACACUGGUACUGAGACACGGACCAGACUCCUACGGGAGGCAGCAGUGAGGAAUAUUGCACAAUGGAGGAAACUCUGAUGCAGCAACGCCGCGUGGAGGAUGACGCAUUUCGGUGUGUAAACUCCUUUUAUAAGGGAAGA